AGGGUGACAGCCCCGUACACAAAAGCGCAUGUGCUGUGAGCUCGAUGAGUAGGGCGGGACACGUGGUAUCCUGUCUGAAUAUGGGGGGACCAUCCUCCAAGGCUAAAUACUCCUGACUGACCGAUAGUGAACCAGUACCGUGAGGGAAAGGCGAAAAGAACCCCGGCGAGGGGAGUGAAAAAGAACCUGAAACCGUGUACGUACAAGCAGUGGGAGCACCCUUUGGGGUGUGACUGCGUACCUUUUGUAUAAUGGGUCAGCGACUUAUAUUCUGUAGCAAGGUUAACCGUAUAGGGGAGCCGUAGGGAAACCGAGUCUUAACCGGGCGUUAAGUUGCAGGGUAUAGACCCGAAACCCGGUGAUCUAGCCAUGGGCAGGUUGAAGGUUGGGUAACACUAACUGGAGGACCGAACCGACUAAUGUUGAAAAAUUAGCGGAUGACCUGUGGCUGGGGGUGAAAGGCCAAUCAAACCGGGAGAUAGCUGGUUCUCCCCGAAAGCUAUUUAGGUAGCGCCUCGUGAAUUCAUCUCCGGGGGUAGAGCACUGUUUCGGCUAGGGGGCCAUCCCGGCUUACCAACCCGAUGCAAACUGCGAAUACCGGAGAAUGUUAUCACGGGAGACACACGGCGGGUGCUAACGUCCGUCGUGAAGAGGGAAACAACCCAGACCGCCAGCUAAGGUCCCAAAGUCAUGGUUAAGUGGGAAACGAUGUGGGAAGGCCCAGACAGCCAGGAUGUUGGCUUAGAAGCAGCCAUCAUUUAAAGAAAGCGUAAUAGCUCACUGGUCGAGUCGGCCUGCGCGGAAGAUGUAACGGGGCUAAACCAU
RNAcentral lists this ribosomal RNA (825 nucleotides) under Salmonella enterica subsp. enterica serovar Thompson. RNAcentral describes it as "partial 23S ribosomal RNA". It matches the Rfam family "Bacterial large subunit ribosomal RNA", at positions 361 to 1190 of the family's 2925-position model. RNAcentral also lists the same sequence under 1 other name. The record is from RNAcentral. Lineage: Bacteria; Pseudomonadati; Pseudomonadota; Gammaproteobacteria; Enterobacterales; Enterobacteriaceae.